GACAGAGGUGCCGAGCGUUAGGCGGAAUCACUGGGCUUAAAGCGUGUGUAGGCGGAUCCGUAAGUACCUUGUGAAAUCCCACGGCUCGACCGUGGAACUGCUUGGUAUACUGCGGGUCUUGAGCCAUCUAGGGGCAACCGGAACAAACGGUGGAGCGGUGAAAUGCGUAGAUAUCGUUUGGAACGCCAAUGGUGAAAACAGGUUGCUGGGGAUGUGCUGACGCUGAGACACGAAAGCCAGGGGAGCAAACGGG
This 253-nucleotide ribosomal RNA is filed under the name uncultured prokaryote. Its description in RNAcentral is "partial 16S ribosomal RNA". It matches the Rfam family "Bacterial small subunit ribosomal RNA", at positions 524 to 776 of the family's 1533-position model. The record is from RNAcentral.